UUCUCUUCAUGUGGCCGGCCAUAGCAAGAACAAAGAGAGGAAAAGAAAAACAAGAAACCUAGGUGGGAAAAGUAAAGAAAAAGUGUGGGAUUUCAAGGAAUCAAGCAAUCAAAGGUAAAAUUUCUUGAUUUUGACUUGUGAUCUACCUUUCCCAUGCUUUUCUCCUUAUUUUCCAUGGUUAGAUUUCAUGUUUUCAUGGUGAAUUCAUGGCUGCCCAAAUGGGUAUGGAGAGAGAAUGAAGUUAGAUUGAUUUGAUUUUAAGUUAUGUUAGUGUUUUAAGUUAGUUUAGCAUAUUUAGAAACAAAACAACAAGAAAAGAAUUCAUUUUCCCCCAUUACCAUCAUUGGCCGAAUUUCCUAGGAAGAAUAUUGUGGCUGAAUUUGAUGAUAUUUCAUGAUAUUUUGGUGAUAUUUUAUGUUUGGUGAGGCUAGAAAUUAAAUGGGAAAUUUUAGUGCAAAAAUACGAAUUUUUGCUCAACAUAUAGACAUGUGUAUUUAUUGACCCGGGAUCGAUAAAUUGAACCUCAUUCACAGUCACUGAGGUAAUUUAGGUAUAAUUGGAGUGUAGAAAGUGAAAAGAAUUGAUUUGGAGUUAAAUUGAAGAUUUUAGCCGAUUAGACCAAGAAUAGCGCGAAUUAGGUCGAAUACCGUAUUUAAACGGCUAUUCGGACAUUUUUGCAUUUCAUAUCAUGCAUUAGUAGCCUAAAUUAGUUUAAUUUCAAUUUAGUAUCAAUGUGGUGAAUUUCUUAAUUUUGUACUGUGUCAAGGUGGUGAGUCCUCCGAUAAAGGCAAGAAAAUUGCAUCCGAGGACCAGUAGACAGAGUACUUCAAAAGUCUGCAUUCUAGACAUUGUGAGUAAACUUACUAUCAUUUUAAUUAUCUAGGGUGGUUUUUAGAUGAUUUCAUGAAUUCUAUGGAAAAAUGGAUUUAAAAGGUAAAUUUUCAUGUUUUAUGAAUAAAGGUGUUCCAAUGAAAUUAAAUUAUAAAUUGUUUUGAAACUAAUAAUGAUUUUAAAAAAAAUAGAGUGCACGGAGACUUUUAAUUGUGGCAAUUUGAUUGUUUAAAUUGAUGGCUUAUGUUAUAUUGUUAUUGUGUUGGCAUGACUGGCUGGGCUGUGUUUUAUGAAUUGUAUGAAUUGUUUUAGUUUACCCUUGCAGGCUAGGUAGUAUUUCAUUAGCCCUGUCAUGCCCUCAAAAUUUUAUUAUAUGGUGGAUAUAUAUUAAUUAAUCACUGUAGUAAGGGGUUUUUGGGGACCAGGCUUCUAGAAAGGCACAGUAAACCCCAUUAUAUUCUUACCUCGAACGAAGAGGCGCGUAGGGUAUCUCCUGGGGUAAAGUUUAGGGUUCACUUCACACCAAACCACCACGUGAGGGGGAACUCAGCCAACGCCAAGGAAUGGCUAUGUUUCAAAAUUAAAAUAUGAUUUAUGCGAAAUGUGAAUUUUUAACAGCCUUGGCAGUCUCGAUAGGAUGCCUCGGCCACGGUGUCCCUAAAAAUGGAUUUAUGGCACAAGCCUAAUUUUUAUGAGAUUCAUAAGCCUCUUCACGUAUUUUAAAUGAAAUGUAUUCUAAUGUUGUGACCCAGUUUACGAUGAUUUACUUUAUUAUCUCCAUGUACUCAACUCUAGAUGUUUAUGAUGAUGUCUGUUUACUCAUUGGGAUUUUAUGAUCUCACCACCCUCCUUUCCACCCGUUUCAGGUUCAGUAUAAACUGUAGAUAGCUGAUCUCAUUUAGGACUAUCGUUGGAUCUGCAUUUUCCAAACCGCAGGUUCACAACUCUCUUUACUUUUGUUUAUUCGAGGGCCCUCUUGUUAUUGUAAAUUUAAUUAAAUAUUUUGGCUUACUGUAUUACAGUAUGUAUAAAUUUAUUUAACUUUUACGCUAUAAAAAUUAUUUACGUAUAACUCUAAAAAUAUUAUUUUAUAAGAAAAUAGAAUAUUUUAUUUAACAUUUCUUUUAUUUUCUUAGUAUAUCCAAAUAAUCAAAAUUUCAUUUUAAAUGAAGAUUUUAGACUUUAAAACUCACUUUUGAUUAUGAAUUAUGUGUUUUGUAACUGUAAAUUACAUUUUAGCCGGUUUCGAAAUUUUUUGGGAAAAUUGACUAAAAUACCCCAGUAAAACGAAAAUUAUUAUUUUAUUUGUUUUGAGUUGAAAAUAGCUUAAAAUCUUUUAGAACAUGAUUUUCGGCAACGGUUGCUCACGAGGGAAAUGAGAUACUGAUAUUAAGCGUUGCAAGGUCCCGAUUGGCAUUCCGGGAAAUGAGUGUCUAUCGGGGUACCAUGGCGGUUGUCACGGACUCGAGGGGAGUACCGGGUCGUGACAAUUCGAUUGGUAUCAGAACUUUUGGUUUUAAAGAAAAGAGUUUUUGGUUUUAAAGUGGUUUUAAAAAUUUACAAUAUUAGUGUGGCCCCGGAUUAAGUUAGGUUAGGUUGAAUAGAAUGCAUGCAUCUGCAUAUAGAGCCUAAGGUUGCCUAAACUUACUCAUAUUCUUUUAUAGAUUAUAAUGCCUCCUCGACGCGGAAGCCCACCUCUCACUAGAUCGGUUGGGAGGGGAAGAGGUCGUUCCCAACGUCAUCAGCCAGAUACAGUAGAGGAGGAAUCGGCUGCAUCCACCAUUCGGGCAGCACCCGCUGCUAAGUAGGCCAAUAGUCCUCCACAUCCUCCAUCUCCUCAGCCACCCACUAGUAUUCCUACCAUGCCUACUGAGGCAGCACAAGCAUUGGCAGUUUUCUUUACCGCAAUAGCUGGUCAAGCUCAGACUGGUCAAGUUCCACCUAUAAUUCCUCUAGCUACUUCUUCAAUUCAGCCAGUACAGGAUGUAUCCAUUUCCAAGAAGCUGAAAAAGGCUAGACAAUUAGGUUAUGUGUCUUUCACGGGUGAGUUGGAUGCCACUGUGGCAAAGGACUGGAUUAAUUAGGUUUCAGAGACUCUCUUUGAUAUGAGAUUAGAUGAUGACAUGAAGCUGAUGGUGGCUACGAGAUUAUUAGAAAAAAGGGCUCGUACCUAGUGGAAUUCGGUGAAGUCUCAUUCCACUACUCCGUAGACAUGGUCUGACUUCCUCAAAGAAUUUGAUGGUCAGUAUUUCACUUACUUUCAUCAGAAAGAAAAGAAAAGAGAAGUUCUGAGCUUGAAACAAGGAAAUCUAACUAUAGAGGAGUACAAGACUCGUUUUAACAAGUUUAUGUUAUAUGUGUCGGAUCUAGUGAAAUUUGAGCAAGAUCAAGCCAGUUAUUUCAAGGAAGGGCUCCGUAAUGAGAUUAGAGAGCGGAUGGCAGUGACUGGUAGGGAGCCACAUAAGGAUGUGGUACAUAUGGCUUUAGGGGCUGAGAAGCUCUCGAUUGAGAAUAAGAGGAUUCAGACUGAGUUUGCAAAAAAAAAGAAUCCUAGUGUAUCUUCUAGUUAACCACCAAAGAAAGGCAAGGGCUCAGCGACUUCAGGGAGCACUACUUCUGUUUCAGUGACAUCUCCUCGACCUCCAUUUCCACAAUCACAACAGAGACCUUCUAGGUUUAGCAGAUCUGCUAUGACUAAUUCUGGAAAGAGUUUUGGAGGUUUUGACAGAUGCAGAAAUUGUGGGAAUUAUCAUGUUGGGCUAUGUAAGGGGCGUGCACUAUGUUUUCAUUAUGGUCAGCUGGGUCAUAAUAGGAGUAAUUGCCCACGGUUAGGACGAACCAAUGUAGCUACAUCAUCUCCACCAGCUCGCACUGAUAUGCAGAGGAAAGAUUCUGCUGGGUUACCAUCGAGACAGAGAGUAGCCAUAUGAUCUGGUGUGGAAAGUAAUACCCCAGCACAUCCACCUUCGAGACCACAGACUCGUACUUCGACAAGAGUUUUCGCAGUGACGCAAGAUGAGGCACGAGUCUGACCUGGAGCAGUGACAGGUAUUAUGUAUUUAUUUAAUAAAGAUGCUUAUGUUUUGAUAGAUUCUGGCUCAGAUAGAUCUUAUGUGAGUACGGCAUUUGCAUCAAUUGCUGAUAGAAACCUGUCACCAUUAGAGGGAGAAAUUGUAGUGCAUACCCCUCUAGGAGAAUAGUUGAUUAGAAAUACUUGUUAUAAAGAUUGUGGGGUAAGGGUAGGUGAGGAAGAAUUUAUGGGUGACUUAAUUCCUCUAGAGAUCUUGGAUUUUGAUUUAAUAUUAGGUAUGGACCGGUUAACUGCACAUCGGAAGAAUGUGGAUUGUUUCUGAAAAGAAGUUAUUCUUCGAAAUUCAGAGGGAGCACAGAUUGUGUUUGUAGGGGAACAUCGAGUAUUACCGGCUUGUGUAAUCUUGGCCAUCAAAGCUUUGAAAUUAGUGCAAAAAGGGUAUCCGACUUAUUUGGCACACGUGAUUGAUACUUCAAAGGGGGAACCUAAGUUAGAGGAUGUCCCAAUAGUAAGUGAGUUUUCUGAUGUAUUUCCUGAUGAGUUACCGAGACUACCUCCUGAUCAAGUGCUUGAGUUCCCUAUUGAUUUACUUUCGGGUACCACACCUAUUUCUAUCCCUCCAUAUAGAAUGGCUCCGGUAGAGUUGAAGGAACUGAAAGUUCAGUUGCAAGAUUUAAUGGAUAAUGGUUUCAUUCGCCCUAGCAUUUCUCCUUGGGGAGCACCAGUCCUAUUUGUUAAAAAGAAAGAUGGCAUUCGAUUACUGUCAACUGAACCGAGUGACCAUUAAGAAUAAAUACCCUUUACCCCAGAUCGAUGAUCUUUUUGAUCAAUUACGAGGUGCUAUAGUGUUCUCUAAGAUUGAUUUGAGAUCUAGGUAUUAUCAGUUGAAGAUUAAGGAGCAGGAUGUACCCAAUACUGCCUUCAGGAAGCGUUAUGGGCAUUUUGAGUUUCUAGUGAUGCCGUUUGGUUUGACCAAUGCCCCGACAGUUUUUAUGGAUCUUAUGAACAAGGUGUUUCAUCCAUACUUGGAUAAGUUUGUGAUAGUGUUCAUAGAUGACAUCCUGGUUUAUUCGAAGAAUGAUGAUGAACAUGUUGCCCAUUUGGGCAUUGUGUUGCAAACUUUGCACGAGAGACAACUCUAUGUCAAGUUCUCUAAAUGUGAGUUCUGGUUAAAGGAAGUGAUUUUCUUGGGACAUGUGGUGUCCGGAGCUAGAAUUUAUGUCAAUCCCAAGAAGAUUGAGGCAAUCUUACAAUGGGAGCAACCGAGAACGGUAACUGAGAUUCGCAGUUUCCUUGGCUUAGCCGGCUAUUAUUAGAGAUUUGUUCAAGGAUUUUCAUUGAUAGCAGCUCCUUUGACUCGUUUGACUCGUAAAGGAGUUAAGUUUGAGUGGGAUGAUGUUUGUGAGAAUCGAUUUCAGGAGCUAAAGAACCGAUUGACCUCCGCUCCCGUUUUAACACUUCCUAUUAAUGGAAAAGAAUUUGUGGUAUACAGUGAUGCAUCUAAGUUGGGAUUAGGGUGCGUAUUGAUGCAGGAUGAAAAAGUAAUAGCUUAUGCUUCCCGGCAAUUAAAGAAGCACGAGACGAAUUACCCUACUCAUGACUUGGAGUUAGCAGCAGUAGUCUUCGCAUUGAAGAUUUGGAGACAUUAUUUAUAUGGUGAGCGUUGUCGGAUUUUUACUGAUCAUAAGAAUUUGAAAUAUUUGCUCACCCAGAAAGAACUUAAUUUGAGACAAAGACAGUGGCUGGAGUUGAUUAAGGAUUACGACUUGGUGAUUAAUUAUCAUCCAGGGAAGGCAAAUGUUGUAGCGGAUGCUUUAAGUCAUAAAUCCUCAUCUUCAUUAGCUGUACUUCAGAGUUCUUAUUUUUCGAUAUUACUUGAGAUCAAAUCUCUAGGGAUCCAGUUGAAUAAUGGUGAGGAUGGAACCCUACUUGCUAGUUUCAUUGUGAGACCUUCAUUGUUGAAUCAAAUCAGAGAAUUGCAAAAAUCUGAUGAUUGGUUGAAACAAGAAGUUCAAAAGCUGGAAGAUGGAGAAACUAGUGAGUUUAGACUUAGUGAUAAUGGUACCUUGAUGCUUAGAGACUGAAUUUAUGUCCCUAAGGAUGAUCAGUUGAGAUGAGCUAUUUUAGAGAAAGCUCAUUUUUUCGCCUAUGCUUUACAUCUCGGAAGCACCAAGAUGUAUCAGACUAUUAAGGAAAGUUAUUGGUGGCCAGGUAUGAAAUGAGACAUAGCAAAGUUUGUAGCAAAAUGUCUCACAUGCCAACAGAUCAAGGCGGAGCAUCAAAAAAUCGUCAGGUACUCUUCAGCCUUUAUCGAUUCCUGAAUGGAAGUGGGAACACGUGACUAUGGACUUUGAAUUGGGUUUGCCACGGACACAGAGUGGGAAAGAUGCUAUUUGGGUGAUUGUUGAUAGAUUGACUAAGUCCGCCCAUUUCUUGGCUAUCCAUAGCACGUAUUCUAUUAAAAAACUAGCGAAACUUUAUAUAGAUGAGAUUGUGAGGUUACAUGGAGUUCCAAUUUCUAUUGUGUCAGAUCGAGACCCUCGGUUUACUUCUCGAUUUUGGUCGAAAUUUCAGGAAGCUCUCAGAACAAAAUUGAGAUUUAGUAUUGCCUUUCAUUCGUAAACUGAUGGUCAAUAUGAAAAGACUAUUCAGACCUUGGAGGAUAUGUUACGGGCUUGUGUCAUUGACUUCAUUGGGAGUUAGGACAGACACUUGCCAUUGGUAGAGUUCGUGUAUAAUAACAGUUUUCAACUUAGUAUUGGGAUGGCACCAUACAAGGCUUUGUAUGGAAGAAAGUGUCGAACUCCACUCUGUUGGGAUGAAGUGGGAGAGAGGAAAUUGGUUAAUGUGGAAUGAUUGAUUUGACAAAUGACAAAAUCAAGAUUAUCAGAGAGCGAUUAAAGAUAGCUCAAGAUAGGCAGAAGAGUUAUUCUGAUAAACGAAGGAAAGAUUUGGAGUUUGAAGUUGACAAUAAAGUUUUUCUUAAGGUUUCUCCUUGGAAAGGUAAUAAUUUGAAAAUUCCAAGUAUUAAAUCUUAUUUGAUUAUACUAUUGUGAUAAUUUGUGGUAUUUAUUGGAUAAUGAAAGGUGUGAUUCGAUUCGCGAAGAGGGGAAAGCUCAAUCUGAGAUACAUUGGACCCUUUCGUAUCAUUGAAAGGAUUGGGCCAAUAGCUUACAGACUUGAAUUACCCCCGGAGUUAGAUCGGAUUCAUAAUGUCUUCCACGUCUCGAUGUUGAAAAAGUAUGUUCCCGAUCCCUCUCACAUUCUAGAAACACCUCCCAUUGAGUUGCAUGAAGAUUUGAAGUUCGAGGUGCAGCUUGUACGUAUUCUAGAUCGAAAGGAUCGAGUGCUAAGGAACAAGAGUAUUCCAAUGGUGAAAGUAUUAUGGAAAAAUGCUCGAAUGGAAGAGAUGAUGUGGGAAGUCGAGCGCCAGAUGAGAAACUAAUAUCCACAUCUUUUCUUGGAAUCUGGUAAGUGAAUUUUGAGGUCAAAAUUUUAUUUUAAGGGGGGUAGUGUUGUAAAGUCCGACCUUAUAAAAUACUUGUCAUGACAUACAUGUGAUGGAUAGCAUGUUUGCAUGCUAGGAGAGUCCCGAAAAAUUUACAAAAGUCGGUAUUGUACCUAGAAGAACAACAAAGUUGAUUUAAGCCUCGAACUAGAUCAAAUAGAAAUUUUAAGGUGAAAUUGAGAGUUUUACAGUCCAUGGAUGACUCAAAAUGGUAAUUCGGAGUUUGAAGAUCAAUUUGGAGUCAAACCGAAAUUUUCACUAUCUAGGGGCAAAAUGAUCAUUUGCCACCUGGGGACAAAAUAGGAAUUUUUAGAAAAAAGUUUUUUGGCCCCAUUUGACUUAUUGGAGUAUGAUUAGAGUAUUGGAGUAUGAUUUGAGAUUUAGAAGUGAAAAAAUUAUAAUCUCGGUAUUUUUGUAGCAUAGGGAUAAAAUGGUACUUUUGCCACCUUAAGGGCAAAUUUGUAAUUUUACACACCCAACACUUGUCCAACACAUGGAUUUUAUCCAAUAUUAUCAUGGAUAAUUGAAGGAAUUUAAGUGGUGGAGAGAGAAAGCUUAAUAGUUAAGAAAUUAAAAAUGGACCAAUGGGAUGGUGACAUGUGUCAAGUUAAUAUCCAUUUAUUUUUUUAGCUUUAAAAUCAGCAAAAAUCAGCUUAUUUUCUCUUCAUGUGGCCGGCCAUAGCAAGAACAAAGAGAGGAAAAGAAAAACAAGAAACCUAGGUGGGAAAAUUAAAGAAAAAGUGUGGGAUUUCAAGGAAUCAAGCAAUCAAAGGUAAAAUUUCUUGAUUUUGACUUGUGAUCUACCUUUCCCAUGCUUUUCUCCUUAUUUUCCAUGGUUAGAUUUCAUGUUUUCAUGGUGAAUUCAUGGCUGCCCAAAUGGGUAUGGAGAGAGAAUGAAGUUAGAUUGAUUUGAUUUUAAGUUAUGUUAGUGUUUUAAGUUAGUUUAGCAUAUUUAGAAACAAAACAACAAGAAAAGAAUUCAUUUUCCCCCAUUACCAUCAUUGGCCGAAUUUCCUAGGGAGAAUAUUGUGGCUGAAUUUGAUGAUAUUUCAUGAUAUUUUGGUGAUAUUUGAUGUUUGGUGAGGCUAGAAAUUAAAUGGGAAAUUUUAGUGUGAAAAUACGAAUUUUUGCUCAACAUAUAGACAUGUGUAAU
RNAcentral lists this long non-coding RNA (8523 nucleotides) under Theobroma cacao (cacao). RNAcentral's name for it is "long non-coding RNA (TCAC_LNC005887)". The record is from RNAcentral. Lineage: Eukaryota; Viridiplantae; Streptophyta; Magnoliopsida; Malvales; Malvaceae.